UACGUAGGGUGCAAGCGUUAAUCGGAAUUACUGGGCGUAAAGCGCACGCAGGCGGUUCGCCAAGUUUGGAGUGACAGUUGUCGGCUCAACCGACAAAGGACUUCAAAAACUGGUGAACUUGAGUCCGGGAGAGGUGAGUGGAACUGCGAGUGUAGAGGUGAAAUUCGUAGAUAUUCGCAAGAACACCAGUGGCGAAGGCGGCUCACUGGCCCGGUACUGACGCUGAGGUGCGAAAGCGUGGGGAGCAAACAGG
RNAcentral lists this ribosomal RNA (253 nucleotides) under uncultured bacterium. RNAcentral's name for it is "partial 16S ribosomal RNA". It matches the Rfam family "Bacterial small subunit ribosomal RNA", at positions 524 to 776 of the family's 1533-position model. The record is from RNAcentral.